UGGGGGAGUAGCCUUUCGAAAGGAAGAUUAAUACCGCAUAAGAUUGUAGUAUCGCAUGAUAUAGCAAUUAAAGGAGCAAUUCGCUAUAAGAUGGACCCGCGUCGCAUUAGCUAGUUGGUGAGGUAAUGGCUCACCAAGGCGACGAUGCGUAGCCGACCUGAGAGGGUGAACGGCCACCAUUGGGACUGAGACACGGCCCAGACUCCUACGGGAGGCAGCAUG
Molecule: ribosomal RNA, 222 nt
Filed under: uncultured bacterium
Lineage: Bacteria
Description: partial 16S ribosomal RNA
Rfam family: Bacterial small subunit ribosomal RNA
Source: RNAcentral